Molecule: ribosomal RNA, 492 nt
Filed under: uncultured bacterium
Lineage: Bacteria
Description: partial 16S ribosomal RNA
Rfam family: Bacterial small subunit ribosomal RNA
Source: RNAcentral
AGUGAACGCUGGCGGUAGGCCUAACACAUGCAAGUCGAACGGCAGCACAGUAAGAGCUUGCUCUUACGGGUGGCGAGUGGCGGACGGGUGAGGAAUACAUCGGAAUCUACUUUUUCGUGGGGGAUAACGUAGGGAAACUUACGCUAAUACCGCAUACGACCUACGGGUGAAAGCAGGGGAUCUUCGGACCUUGCGCGAUUGAAUGAGCCGCUGUCGGAUUAGCUAGUUGGCGGGGUAAAGGCCCACCAAGGCGACGAUCCGUAGCUGGUCUGAGAGGAUGAUAAGCCACACUGGAACUGAGACACGGUCCAGACUCCUACGGGAGGCAGCAGUGGGGAAUAUUGGACAAUGGGCGCAAGCCUGAUCCAGCCAUACCGCGUGGGUGAAGAAGGCCUUCGGGUUGUAAAGCCCUUUUGUUGGGAAAGAAAAGCAGCAGGUUAAUACCCAGCUGUUCUGACGGUACCCAAAGAAUAAGCACCGGCUAACUUCGUG